AUCGACCCCGCAAGGGGAGCGGCAGACGGGUGAGUAACGCGUGGGAAUCUACCUUUUGCUACGGAAUAACGCAGGGAAACUUGUGCUAAUACCGUAUGUGUCCUUCGGGAGAAAGAUUUAUCGGCAAGAGAUGAGCCCGCGUUGGAUUAGCUAGUUGGUGGGGUAAAGGCCUACCAAGGCGACAAUCCAUAGCUGGUCUGAGAGGAUGAUCAGCCACAUUGGGACUGAGACACGGCCCAAACUCCUACGGGAGGCACACUGGGGAAUAUUGGACAAUGGGCGCAAGCCUGAUCCAGCCAUGCCGCGUGAGUGAUGAAGGCCCUAGGGUUGUAAAGCUCUUUCACCGGAGAAGAUACGGACGGUAUCCGGACACCAACCCCCGGCUAACUUCGUGCCAGCAGCGGGGCUAAUACAAAUGGGGCCCCUUAUUG
This 431-nucleotide ribosomal RNA is filed under the name Martinezella tropici. Its description in RNAcentral is "bacterial SSU rRNA". It matches the Rfam family "Bacterial small subunit ribosomal RNA", at positions 79 to 535 of the family's 1533-position model. The record is from RNAcentral. Lineage: Bacteria; Pseudomonadati; Pseudomonadota; Alphaproteobacteria; Hyphomicrobiales; Rhizobiaceae.